CAGUAGCCGCGGGAAUACGUAGGUGGCAAGCGUUAUCCGGAAUUAUUGGGCGUAAAGCGCGCGUAGGCGGUUUUUUAAGUCUGAUGUGAAAGCCCACGGCUCAACCGUGGAGGGUCAUUGGAAACUGGAAAACUUGAGUGCAGAAGAGGAAAGUGGAAUUCCAUGUGUAGCGGUGAAAUGCGCAGAGAUAUGGAGGAACACCAGUGGCGAAGGCGACUUUCUGGUCUGUAACUGACGCUGAUGUGCGAAAGCGUGGGGAUCAAACAGGAUUAGAUACCCCAGUAGUCCCUGUCUCUUAUAC
This 301-nucleotide ribosomal RNA is filed under the name uncultured bacterium. RNAcentral describes it as "partial 16S ribosomal RNA". It matches the Rfam family "Bacterial small subunit ribosomal RNA", at positions 509 to 807 of the family's 1533-position model. The record is from RNAcentral.